GACGAACGCUGGCGGCGUGCUUAACACAUGCAAGUCGAACGGAAAGGCCCUGCUUUUGUGGGGUGCUCGAGUGGCGAACGGGUGAGUAACACGUGAGUAACCUGCCCUUGACUUUGGGAUAACUUCAGGAAACUGGGGCUAAUACCGGAUAGGAGCUCCUGCUUCAUGGUGGUGGUUGGAAAGUUUCGGCGGUUGGGGAUGGCCUCGCGGCUUAUCAGCUUGUUGGUGGGGUAGUGGCUUACCAAGGCUUUGACGGGUAGCCGGCCUGAGAGGGUGACCGGCCACAUUGGGACUGAGAUACGGCCCAGACUCCUACGGGAGGCAGCAGUGGGGAAUAUUGCACAAUGGGCGGAAGCCUGAUGCAGCAACGCCGCGUGCGGGAUGACGGCCUUCGGGUUGUAAACCGCUUUCGCCUGUGACGAAGCGUGAGUGACGGUAAUGGGUAAAGAAGCACCGGCUAACUACGUG
This 468-nucleotide ribosomal RNA is filed under the name uncultured bacterium. RNAcentral's name for it is "partial 16S ribosomal RNA". It matches the Rfam family "Bacterial small subunit ribosomal RNA", at positions 28 to 507 of the family's 1533-position model. The record is from RNAcentral.